Molecule: long non-coding RNA, 124 nt
Organism: Alosa sapidissima (American shad)
Lineage: Eukaryota; Metazoa; Chordata; Actinopteri; Clupeiformes; Clupeidae
Exons: 3
Source: RefSeq, a predicted model, not a curated record
AAUAAAAAAAAGCCUGCCUCGAAUACCAGCCUGCCCCAAAUAAAGGUGCUGUGCUUUGCGCAGCCUAAGUAAAUAAAAGACCCCAGCCAUAAUUUGAAGAUUUAUGACAGUCUGUCUCCUGAAC